GACGAACGCUGGCGGCGUGCUUAACACAUGCAAGUCGAACGAAGAAGUUCCUUCGGGAAUGGAUUAGUAGCGAACGGGUGAGGAACACGUGAGAAACCUGCCUUUCAUUUUGGGAUAACUCCGGGAAACCGGGGCUAACACCGAAUACUCCGUCUCGGCGGCAUCGCUGAGCCGGGAAAAAAUUUUGAUGAAAGAUGGUCUCGCGGCCUAUCAGCUAGUUGGUGAGGUAAUGGCUCACCAAGGCAACGACGGGUAGCCGGCCUGAGAGGGCGACCGGCCACACUGGGACUGAGACACGGCCCAGACUCCUACGGGAGGCAGCAGUGGGGAAUAUUGGGCAAUGGGCGCAAGCCUGACCCAGCGACGCCGCGUGAGGGAUGAAGGCCUUCGGGUUGUAAACCUCUUUCAGUAGGGAAGAAGCGAAAGUGACGGUACCUAAAGAAGAAGCACCGGCUAACUAUGUGCCAGCAGCCGCCGUAA
This 480-nucleotide ribosomal RNA is filed under the name uncultured bacterium. Its description in RNAcentral is "partial 16S ribosomal RNA". It matches the Rfam family "Bacterial small subunit ribosomal RNA", at positions 28 to 523 of the family's 1533-position model. The record is from RNAcentral.